GCCUGGAGAACUUGAAAAUGAAAAAGGAUGAUCAACUUUCUGAAGGUAUACUCAUAAUAGAAUCUAACCUAAUAUUUUUUUUUACUUCUAGUUGGGCGUUGGAUUCUGGUUCUAAUGCUCAUAUAUAUACUUCAAUCUAGGAUCUAAUAGGAAGUAGGAGGUUAAGGGAAGGUAACAUGAUCAUUCGAAUUGGUAAUGGA
This 200-nucleotide long non-coding RNA is filed under the name Elaeis guineensis (African oil palm). RNAcentral's name for it is "long non-coding RNA (EGUI_LNC043417)". The record is from RNAcentral. Lineage: Eukaryota; Viridiplantae; Streptophyta; Magnoliopsida; Arecales; Arecaceae.